This 398-nucleotide long non-coding RNA is filed under the name Homo sapiens (human). Its description in RNAcentral is "non-protein coding lnc-CPT1A-1:2". The record is from RNAcentral. Lineage: Eukaryota; Metazoa; Chordata; Mammalia; Primates; Hominidae.
GUUGAAAUCAAGGAAGCAGGUGGUACUACUACAAGUAAUAAUCCGGAAGAAGCAACUUUGCAGAAUCUUCUUGCUCAGGAAUCCUGUUGCAAGUUCCCAUCGUCCCAGGAACUAGAGGAUGCCUCCUGCUGUUCUCUUAAGAAAGAUUCCAACCCAAUGGUGAUAUGCCAAUUGAAAGGGGGCACACAAAUGCUAUGUAUAGACAAUUCUAGAACAAGAGAACUAAAAGCACUCCAUUUGGUUCCUCAGUAUCAAGAUCAAAAUAAUUAUCUACAGUCAGGUACAAAGUUAAUUAAUAAAAAAAACUAUGUCAUAUAUGUAAGUUGGUAAAUGAAUAUGUUUGGCUUUGUAUAUAAAGUGAAAUGGCAACCAGGAUAUUAAAUAGGAAAUUUGGCAAA